RNAcentral lists this ribosomal RNA (450 nucleotides) under uncultured bacterium. Its description in RNAcentral is "partial 16S ribosomal RNA". It matches the Rfam family "Bacterial small subunit ribosomal RNA", at positions 354 to 796 of the family's 1533-position model. The record is from RNAcentral.
GUGGGGAAUCUUCCGCAAUGGACGAAAGUCUGACGGAGCAACGCCACGUGAGUGAUGAAGGUCUUCGGAUUGUAAAGCUCUGUUAAUCGGGACGAAAGAGCCUAGUGUGAAUAAUGCUAGGAAGUGACGGUACCGGAAUAGAAAGCCACGGCUAACUACGUGCCAGCAGCCGCGGUAAUACGUAGGUGGCAAGCGUUGUCCGGAAUUAUUGGGCGUAAAGCGCGCGCAGGCGGAUCUGCCAGUCUGUCUUAAAAGUUCGGGGCUUAACCCCGUGAUGGGAUGGAAACUACAGAUCUAGAGUAUCGGAGAGGAAAGUGGAAUUCCUAGUGUAGCGGUGAAAUGCGUAGAUAUUAGGAAGAACACCAGUGGCGAAGGCGACUUUCUGGACGAAAACUGACGCUGAGGCGCGAAAGCCAGGGGAGCGAACGGGAUUAGAAACCCCAGUAGUCC